CCGGCAGCCAUUACACACCGCCAUUACUUGGCACCAUUCCCCAGAGGCCGUUGCCUGCCACCAUUUCCCAGCAGCCAUUGCCUGUUGGUCCCCGGAAACCCAGGGUGCCAUCACAGCCGCAGAUGCCCCAGGUGCGCUGGAUCAGGAGGAGCUGGCUGCAGUGUCUCCGUGUCUGACUCAGGAGUCCUUCGGAGCUGUAGGGCCCCACCUGAGGGCCGGGGCACUGUUCCCCCAGGAUUCUGGGCCGUCAGGCCCCAACAGGAUGUCUGCGCGGGGCUAUGUGGCUUGGGAGACGUGGAGAACUGAAGCUGCUGUGGCACCUCAGGACUUGGACAUUUGACAGACAGGCGCUGGCAAAGAGACUGCUGGCUUUGGGAGUCAUUUUGAGAAGACAUUUCUGCUGAAAAUAAAAUUCAUGAGGAGAACUUCAUAAGUGCCCCAAGGAGACUAGCCUGUGGGCUGCAAAUUUAAAAUAGCAUGCCUGACAAUGUUAUUUCAGACUGUCCUGCCCUGAGCACCUGUUAGACACAAGCAGAGCACAGAGCUGGUGACAAGGAGGAAGGAGGAACUGUGGGAUCCUGCCCUCAACAAGCUUUCAGAUCAGCGUGCAGCCUCUGACCUGAAGCCUUGCCCAUGUUGCGCUGCUCUGCCUCUUCUGAACCUGGAGGUCUUAUGUUUACGUCUCUCAUAACUCUCACCCUAUUUUGCUUUAUAGCAGCUCAUUUGUAAUGACAGAGGAGAAAGAUAACUGAGUACUACUAAAUCUGGUGAAGGAAGCAGAACUGUCAGCAUUCUACCCUCCAUUUCAGUUCAACGGCCACAGAAUCUCGCACAGAAUUUCAUAUGUGACCUUGACAAAUGACUGAAAAUCAAAAUUUUAGGACACUGUAUUUUGUGGUCUAACUCAGAUAAGACAAAGCCUAGCUUCCCAAAGAUUUUAACGUGGUUUUCACAAGCAACGACUCCUUAAUACCAAGAAUGGCUUGAUCGUGAAAGCUUUCAGGGACUGAGCUCUUCCUCUGGGCCAGGCACCGGGAAUGUGAUGAUUUAGGCCAAAAUUCUGCUUCCUGAAUAAUUCAGAUAAUUGCCUCAAUCUCACACUUUACUGAAGUUGGAGAGAUUUGACUUCAAAAGGCAGAGUAGAAAACUGAGGCGCGUUGAGUUUGACUUGCCAAGGUCGUAGAGUGGAGCCCUGAUUCUCACGAAGUCCCGCUGAACCGCACUGUCUCCAACGGAACAAGGAUACUGGGGCCCUCUUUCUAUGCUCCUCUAGGUCUGUUCCAGCUGGGCCUGAGUUGGAACUCAACUUAUAUGGCUGGAGGUUUCUCACCUGGAGAAGCUCUUAGAGGCCCAUCAUUCAUUUUCCUCAGUGCAUAGAACUCUGGAUGGGGGGCUGGACCAUCCGGACAGACUCAGACUGGCAGCGCGGCCUGAGUCUUGGAAACGCAAAUGCCCUCUGUAAAGAAGCCAGCCUUGUCAGUCAGGCAGAAUUGGGCUGCCAUCUCCACACUUACUCGCUGGGGUUCUUGGAAAUAUCUCAGCUAUGCACUAGACGUAACUUGAAUUUGGGGAUUUCUAGAGACCGUGUGUCCACUUGAUUGGGCUAAGGCUGCCCGAGAGCUGGUGAAACCUUAUUUCUGGGUGUGUCUGUGAGGUGUCUCUGGAAGACAUUGACAUUCGAAUGGUAGACUGAGUAGAGAAGACCACCUCUCCCCGUGCGGGUGGGCAUCAUCCAAUCUCCUGAGGGCCCGAACUGAAGAGAAGGCGGAGGAAGGGCAGGUUCUCUCUCUGUGAGCCGCGCAUGCAUCUUCUCCUGCCCUCGGACAUCAGCGCUCCUCGUUCGUGGGCCUUCGGAUUUGGACCAAGACUCCUGCCGUCAGCCCCUAGUUCUCCGGCCUUUGGACUCAGACUAAAUUAUACCGCCAGCGUUCCUGGUUCUCCAGCUUGUAGACAGAAAAGUGUGGGACUUCGUGGCCUCUGUAAUCACGUGAGCCAAUUCCUAUAAUAAAU
This is a non-coding RNA of Equus caballus (horse), 2010 nucleotides long. Lineage: Eukaryota; Metazoa; Chordata; Mammalia; Perissodactyla; Equidae. The record is from RefSeq and is a predicted model, not a curated record.